RNA transcript from Lolium rigidum, 1161 nucleotides. RefSeq lists it as uncharacterized. Lineage: Eukaryota; Viridiplantae; Streptophyta; Magnoliopsida; Poales; Poaceae. The transcript is spliced from 7 exons. The record is from RefSeq and is a predicted model, not a curated record.
AGUCCUAGGGGCGGCGGCGCUCUGCUUGGCCCUUCUCGAGGCGAUGGCGGGAGGACGUGCUGGUCGUCCGCUUGGUCUGAAGCAGGAGGUAGCUCGAGAUUGCGGAAGCGGAUCAGGGUGGCGAUUGCCUUGCCGGAGCUCUUCAGAUGACCCGUUCUAUAGGAGAAGACACAUAGAGCGGCGAUGGCAACACGGGUCAACGGCAUCAGCAACACCGGAGUGCACUCCGGACUACCUUUGCUUCCAGAUGUGGGUCUCUCACAGGGAGGAAGAAGAAAAUCAUGGAAACAAGUUCAGCAGUAGAAACAUCACCAUGGGUGGAUUUGGUGACACAAAUGUACAUAAGCGAGGACAUCAUCUUUUUGCUGAUUUGCGUGUUGGCUGGCCCGAACUGAGCGACACCCCUAAUGCUAACCGAUUUAUUUUAAGAAUCAAAUAUCCAAUGGUGGAUGUGCUUGCUUCUGAUUGCACAUAUCGCUUUAGAACAUGGUAUUUUGUUUCUGCUUUUACAUUGGCUCAUACAUGAAUGUGGUGCAAAGGCUUGGCAAGGCCGCCAGCGACGAACGGCUGCUGAGUUUGGCAAAGCAGGCGGUGCUCCGGUCAGGGUACCUUGUCACGUAAAUCAUCAUUAGUGGAUGACAUGAUAACGGAAGAUUUCGACAGGUUUGCCUCCAUCAUCAGGAGGGUGGAGAGCUCGCGCAAGCUCGCUCGAUUGCAUGCUAAAGCCAAUACUUCCAUCAAGGAAAGUAUUGAUGUUUGGAGGAAGAGACAAGAUAAGCUAUAAAAUGGUUUGCCCUUAUGAUGGUGGAGGGAGUGCAUGGGGGACUGCCUACUGAUCUUAGUUACACCAUGAUGUUGGCCCACGAGUAUCAAUGAUAUCAUAGAAUUUGUGAAUAUAUUUGAGCAAAAGUGCCUGAUUCCCAAGAACCGGGUUCUGAACUCCCACUUCUCUUUGGUUUUUACAAGCUAGCUCACAAGACAUCAGGUUAUUUGUUUGGUGCAUGGCUCCCAUAUGGUUGCCUUUAUAAUGUAAUUUUUUGGUUUUCUUUUCUUAUUUAAGUACUAUUUUCCUUCAUUUUCAUUCUCUAUUUGUAGACUGCAGCCUCAGCCGUGUCCACUUUGCACUUUCCGGUCUUUCAUUGUAGCCUUAAAUGCUGUCGU